UCCGGAAGGUGCAAUCGUUGUUCGGAUUGACUGGGUGUAAAGGGCGCGUAGGCGGAGAGGUGUGUCGGGAGUGAAAUCGUGCGGCUUAACCGUACAAUGGCUUUCGAAACUACCUCCCUUGAGUACAGAAGGGGUUGAUGGAAUACCUGGUGUAGCGGUGGAAUGCGUAGAUAUCAGGUAGAACACCGGAGGCGAAGGCGGUCAACUGGUCUGUAACUGACGCUGAGGCGCGAAAGUGUGGGGAGAAAACAGG
This 253-nucleotide ribosomal RNA is filed under the name uncultured bacterium. Its description in RNAcentral is "partial 16S ribosomal RNA". It matches the Rfam family "Bacterial small subunit ribosomal RNA", at positions 524 to 776 of the family's 1533-position model. The record is from RNAcentral.